This 475-nucleotide ribosomal RNA is filed under the name uncultured bacterium. RNAcentral describes it as "bacterial SSU rRNA". It matches the Rfam family "Bacterial small subunit ribosomal RNA", at positions 328 to 793 of the family's 1533-position model. The record is from RNAcentral.
CGCUAUCACUCCUACGGGGAGGCAGCAGUGGGGAAUAUUGCACAAUGGGGGAAACCCUGAUGCAGCCAUGCCGCGUGUGUGAAGAAGGCCUUCGGGUGUAAAGCACUUUCAGUAGGGAGGAAGGUAGUGUAGUUAACACCUGCAUUAUUUGACGUUACCUACAGAAGAAGCACCGGCUAACUCCGUGCCAGCAGCCGCGGUAAUACGGAGGGUGCGAGCGUUAAUCGGAAUUACUGGGCGUAAAGCGCAUGCAGGCGGCCUGUUAAGUCAGAUGUGAAAGCCCGGGGCUUAACCUCGGAAUUGCAUUUGAAACUGGCAGGCUAGAGUCUUGUAGAGGGGGGUAGGAAUUUCAGGUGUAGCGGUGAAAAUGCGUAGAGAUCUGAAGGAAUACCAGUGGCGAAGGCGGCCCCCUGGACAAAGACUGACGCUCAGAUGCGAAAGCGUGGGGAGCAAACAGGAUUAGAUACCCUGGUAG